GAUGAACGCUGGCGGCGUGCCUAAUACAUGCAAGUCGAGCGAACGGACGAGAAGCUUGCUUCUCUGAUGUUAGCGGCGGACGGGUGAGUAACACGUGGAUAACCUACCUAUAAGACUGGGAUAACUUCGGGAAACCGGAGCUAAUACCGGAUGAUAUUUUGAACCGCAUGGUUCAAAAGUGAAAGACGGUCUUGCUGUCACUUAUAGAUGGAUCCGCGCUGCAUUAGCUAGUUGGUAAGGUAACGGCUUACCAAGGCAACGAUGCAUAGCCGACCUGAGAGGGUGAUCGGCCACACUGGAACGGAGACACGGUCCAGACUCCUACGGGAGGCGGCAGUAGGGAAUCUUCCGCAAUGGGGGAAAGCCUGACGGAGCAACGCCGCGUGAGUGAUGAAGGUCUUCGGAUCGUAAAACUCUGUUAUUAGGGAAGAACAUAUGUGUAAGUAACUGUGCACAUCUUGACGGUACCUAAUCAGAAAGCCACGGCUAACUACGUG
Molecule: ribosomal RNA, 497 nt
Filed under: uncultured bacterium
Lineage: Bacteria
Description: partial 16S ribosomal RNA
Rfam family: Bacterial small subunit ribosomal RNA
Source: RNAcentral